RNAcentral lists this ribosomal RNA (492 nucleotides) under uncultured bacterium. RNAcentral describes it as "partial 16S ribosomal RNA". It matches the Rfam family "Bacterial small subunit ribosomal RNA", at positions 29 to 507 of the family's 1533-position model. The record is from RNAcentral.
AGUGAACGCUGGCGGUAGGCCUAACACAUGCAAGUCGAACGGCAGCACAGUAAGAGCUUGCUCUUACAGGUGGCGAGUGGCGGACGGGUGAGGAAUACAUCGGAAUCUACUUUUUCGUGGGGGAUAACGUAGGGAAACUUACGCUAAUACCGCAUACGACCUACGGGUGAAAGCAGGGGAUCUUCGGACCUUGCGCGAUUGAAUGAGCCGAUGUCGGAUUAGCUAGUUGGCGGGGUAAAGGCCCACCAAGGCGACGAUCCGUAGCUGGUCUGAGAGGAUGAUCAGCCACACUGGAACUGAGACACGGUCCAGACUCCUACGGGAGGCAGCAGUGGGGAAUAUUGGACAAUGGGCGCAAGCCUGAUCCAGCCAUACCGCGUGGGUGAAGAAGGCCUUCGGGUUGUAAAGCCCUUUUGUUGGGAAAGAAAAGCAGCAGGUUAAUACCCCGCUAUUCUGACGGUACCCAAAGAAUAAGCACCGGCUAACUUCGUG